GCUGGCGGCAUGCUUANNCAUGCAAGUCGAACGGUAACAGGAGAGAGCUUGCUCUCUUGCUGACGAGUGGCGGACGGGUGAGUAAUACAUGGGAAUCUGCCCUGAGGUGGGGGAUAACCCGGGGAAACUCGGGCUAAUACCGCAUGAUCUCUUCGGAGCAAAGUGGGGGACCUUCGGGCCUCACGCCUUGGGAUGAGCCCAUGUCUGAUUAGCUAGUUGGUGGGGUAAAGGCCUACCAAGGCAACGAUCAGUAGCCGGCCUGAGAGGGUGUACGGCCACACUGGGACUGAGACACGGCCCAGACUCCUACGGGAGGCAGCAGUGGGGAAUAUUGGACAAUGGGGGCAACCCUGAUCCAGCAAUGCCGCGUGUGUGAAGAAGGCCUGCGGGUUGUAAAGCACUUUUAUCGGGGAAGAAUAGGUUGUCGUUAAUAGCGCCAACACUUGACAUUACCCGUUGAAUAAGCACCGGCNNAACUCCGUGCCAGCAGCCGCGGUAAUACGGAGGGUGCCAGCCGUUAAUCGGAAUUACUGGGCGUAAAGGGUGCGUANGCGGAAGCUUAAGUCUGAUGUGAAAGCCCCGGGCUUAACCUGGGAAUGGCAUUGGAAACUGGGUUUCUAGAGUGUGGUAGAGGAUAGUGGGAAUUUCCAGUGUANCGGUGAAAUGCGUANAUNUUGGAAAGAACANCGAUGGCGANGNCAGCUAUCUGGGCCAACACUGACGCUGAGGUACNAAAGCGUGGGGAGCAANNGNAUUNNAUACCCUGGGUAGUCACNCCCUAAACGNNGUCNACUNNUCGUNGG
RNAcentral lists this ribosomal RNA (803 nucleotides) under uncultured bacterium. Its description in RNAcentral is "partial 16S ribosomal RNA". It matches the Rfam family "Bacterial small subunit ribosomal RNA", at positions 35 to 826 of the family's 1533-position model. The record is from RNAcentral.